CCCUUAGAUGUUCUGGGCCGCACGCGUGCUACACUGACCGGCGCAACAAGUUUCUUUCCUUGGCUCGAUAGGCCUGGGUAAUCUUUGAACGCCGGUCGUGAUGGGGAUAGAUCCUUGCAAUUUUUGAUCUUCAACGAGGAAUUCCUAGUAAAUGCGAGUCAUCAUCUCGCGUUGAUUACGUCCCUGCCCUUUGUACACACCGCCCGUCGCACCUACCGAUUGAAUGGUCCGGUGAAAUCUUCGGAUCUGAGAGAUGUCUGAUUAAUUUCGGACGCCUUUUGGAAAAGUUGUUUAAACCUUACCAUUUAGAGGAAGGUGAAGUCGUAACA
Molecule: ribosomal RNA, 329 nt
Filed under: uncultured eukaryote
Lineage: Eukaryota
Description: partial 18S ribosomal RNA
Rfam family: Eukaryotic small subunit ribosomal RNA
Source: RNAcentral